GUGAUGGUAUUUAUGCAUUUACACUAAAUGAUUACUAUUUAUAGGGCUGUAUCAAAAGACCACGUUUUGAAAAUGAGUUCUGGAGUCAGACCACAUGGGUUUGAAUCCCAGUUCUUCCACUUACACUCUCACUUUGGGUAACUUAUUUAAUCUUAAUGUGCCUCAAAUGGAUGAUACAAGCAUCUACCUCCACAUAGUGUCUCUGGUGGUUAGCUCCGUUCCUGGCACCUAGGCGGUGUCCGAUGAAAUUUGUUCAAUAACUGACAGAGUGAAUGAAGUAAUGAUUUUUAUGGAGAUUAAAUAAGGUCAUAUAACUUUAGUUUGCUGGCAUGGUGCAAACAUUCAAUAAAGGUUGAGUGUUACCAUCGACAUCCUCUCUAGCCUUGGGAAUACUUCCCUAGCGUGGGCUGUUCCCUGUGUCUGGAACACCCUUCCAUCUCUUCUGCACCUUGUUUCUCAAGACUCCGGUCAGGCAAAACCCCGCAGUCAGUCUUUCCCGGGUGGCCCCUUCCCAAAUUGUCCCCCUGCUUCUUUUCUCCACUUAUAGCACCUCUGAUGUUGGGUCUCCAAUGAUUUUUGUUUCUUUCAUGAUGGCCUUAUUGAGAUGUAAUUCACGUAUCAUACAAGUGACCCAUUUACAGGGUACAAUUCGGUGAUUUUCAGUAUGUUCACGGAACUGGGCAGUCAUCACCUCAAUUUUCGCCAUUCCCUAAAGAAACCCCAUACCCAUUAGCCCCGCUCCCCCUCACUCCAGCCGCUGGCAAGCACUAAUGUACUUUCUGUCCUGAUGGAUCUUCCCAUUCUAGACUUUCAUGUAAAUGGAGUCGUGCGAGAUAUAUGGCUUUUUGUGUCUGGCUGCUUUCACUCAGCGUAAUGUUUUCUCGGUUCAUCCAGGUUGUAGCACGUGCCAGUAUUUCAUCCCUUUUCACGGCUGAAAAAUACCUACUUCAUGGUCAUACCACUUAUCCACUCAGCAGUCGAUGGACAUUUGGGAUAUUUACACUUGUUGGCUAUUCUAAACAAUGCUGCUAAGAACAUCUGUACGAAUUGUUGUGUGGACACAUUUCUCUUGGUACAUACCUAGGGGUAGAUUGCUGUGUGAUCUGGUAACACUAUGUUCAACUUUUUCAACACUAUGUUCGAACCGCCUGUUUUCCAAGGCGGCUGCACCAUUUUGCAUUCCCACCAGCAGUGUAUGGGGGGGGUCCAGUUUCUCUACAUGUACAAUCAUUUUUCAGUGUACCUCCAUGCCAGUGAACUUCUUGAAGGCAAAGAGGGUGAGACUGCGGUUUUCUGUCCCUCCAGCUCUUAGCCCAGCGCGAGUCACCGAGAGAAACUUUUCUUUCCCCAGCUCAACCCUGCUCCACUGGACUACAUCAGAGUCAUGGAGACAUGAUAUCUUCCGUGUUAAAAUAUAUGUUCAGGCAAGAUGGCAUAGCCCCGUUUUUCCUUGCUCCUCACGGCGACACACAACUACAGACCGUGGAAAUGGCAAAAGAGACAACCAAAGGAAAACCCCGGAAGGUGGUAAAAGGGGGAGAGACCUGUUUUCUGGGUGAAGCAGCCUGUGGCCAGAUUGGGAUCCAGAGCCCCACCUGCUCCAACAUCUACAAGGCAUCUACCCAGCACCCAGAGGAGAAGACUGGGUGGUGCUUGGGAAACUGCCAUGAUGGGGGCUGGGGGGAAGGAGAGCCCGUGCAGCUAUCUUUCUUCCCACAGACAUUAUGGGACUCUAGAAAUGUCUCUUCUCCCCUUCCUGCUCUUUCUCCGUAGAUGUGGUAUGUAAGAUGUAUCUGUAGAUACAGAUAUAAUUUUCCCACACAUACGUACAAUAUUUAGUGUAGUUUUACUAGAAUGGAGAUCUUACCAUCUGUUGGUAUUGUGCAGGCAGAUUCACAUGGUGGUGGUAACUAAAAUAAAAUAUGAAAAUGUAUUAGUCUAAUGCCAGAAAAAAAAUAAGCUAAAAAAGCAUACCAACACAUAUAUUAAAUAGAAUCUGAACAGAAGAGGACUUCCCCAAUUUUUAAAUCCUAAAAAUAAUUUAUAAUAUAUAGAAACAAGGCAAUGUUUGCUCUCCUGCCAAGAAACAAAUUCAGGCCUCUUAGCUUUUGAAGGCACAAAGGAGAAUAAACAAAAGGAAAUGCAUCUUGAGAUAACUGAUUUAUGCAUUUGCAAUGAUUAUAUACACACACACACACACACACACACACACACACACACACACACACACAAAGUAGGCAGAGCGUUCUCACUGAAAAGUUAUGAUUGUUAGCCAAUGGUUUUUCCCUUCUAAUUUUUCCUAUUCACCUCAACGUUGUCAGGAUUCAUAUAUAAAGACAAACCUAAAUAUACUGGCUUCGUUGUUAAAUUAUUCUUUUUCCUUGUACUAUACCCCACUUACAAGGCUACUAGUAAGAAGUCAGACUUCAUGUUUUCUGUUUGUUUUCCUUAUUUAAUGUAGUUAAUAAGAUUAAUUUAGGAUUAUCUAGUUCAGUCUUUUGGUUAAUCCAAAUAAUUGAAAAUAAUACAAAGUCAAAAUUGUAAGAUUAUGAACCAC
This is a long non-coding RNA of Felis catus (domestic cat), 2557 nucleotides long. RefSeq lists it as uncharacterized. NCBI's taxonomy places the organism in Eukaryota, Metazoa, Chordata, Mammalia, Carnivora, Felidae. The transcript has 3 exons. The record is from RefSeq and is a predicted model, not a curated record.